GGAGUUGUAGCUCAACGGCCAGAGCACCUGAUUGUCGAUCAGGAUGAUGCGAGUUCGAAUCUCGUCAACUCCG
Molecule: transfer RNA, 73 nt
Filed under: Acidobacteriota bacterium
Lineage: Bacteria; Pseudomonadati; Acidobacteriota
Description: tRNA-Asp
Rfam family: tRNA
About the family: Transfer RNA (tRNA) molecules are approximately 80 nucleotides in length. Their secondary structure includes four short double-helical elements and three loops (D, anti-codon, and T loops).
Source: RNAcentral